Molecule: long non-coding RNA, 1367 nt
Organism: Tachysurus vachellii
Lineage: Eukaryota; Metazoa; Chordata; Actinopteri; Siluriformes; Bagridae
Exons: 5
Source: RefSeq, a predicted model, not a curated record
AUUUAAUUCCUUCCUAUGAUCUCGCGCUGGGUAAACGGAAGGAACGUUGUGCUUUGCGAGUUGGUAAACGGCGUGUGAUACAUUUGCUCUGCUGAUUGCGAAACCGUUUGCCAGAAUAUACCCUGACCGUAUACGGACCGACUGUCAGUCAUGACCGAAAGUGAGUAACUUUAGUAACUUGUGGAUCAGCGCUGACUCAAGACGCGAACUGUUUAGAACGAAUCAGUCUGAUUUGGUGAACCGGUUCAAAAGAACGAUUCGUUCCCGAAAUGGCCAUCACUAUUUCUGUGGCGCUUCGCCUCGACUCCAUUUUGUUGCCCUUGGAAAAGCAACAAAAACUUUAACAACACCAGACUGAAACUGUGAAAAUAACCAAUAACAAGGCUUUUGGAUGAAAAGUACGUUUUUUUUUGUUUGUUUUUUUUUUUAACCACAAACGUCUUUAUAUUUUGUUGAACUCGUGUAAACAGCAGUAAGAAACCCGGAAGUGAAGUGAACUUCUGUGUGUUGUUUUAUCUGCUAUGUGCUGAAGGAGAAGAGAUCAUCAUCUGCUCAUAAGUUGUCUUAAUUUGUCAGUGCAUUCACUAAUAUUCAAACAUAGAUUUAUUUGGAAUGAUCUGGGAAUCAGUGAAAGGAAUUGUGGAGAGAUUAUUCUUACCAGAAUCCAGCUAUAACUCUAUGAAGAGGAAUGCAUCUUUGGAUUUUCUUUGGAACUUUAGAAAUUACACCUCAUCUAUACGCAGGUUGAAUCGUUGUGGUAUUUCAGAUGAAAGAUCACACCCCUCACGCCCGAGAAACCCACGUCUGUAUGGGAAGGAAAUGAAAGACUCAUGACUAGAGUGUUACUCUGUUCCACAGACAUUGCAUUUGUGAUGAACGUCUUGAUUGGUGAAUGAAGUGAAGACUCCAGUGUUGAACAUUUCCAUGUUACCACUUCAUUAACAUCUAUUUGACAUAUUUAAACUUACUCAUGCUUGCAAUUAUCUGCCAGUCAUUUAUUUAAUCAGGCAUUCAUGCAGUAUAUACGCAGACGCACAUAAAUACAGACACAAGACUUACUCAGUCUGCAUUUAUCAGCUAGCUAGUGUACCGUAUUUCAUGGUAUUUAGUGAUAAGGAUGAAUCCUCCCAUACAGACUGAACACUGAACCAGGAUCUCAGCUCUAUUGUGAUGCCGGUGAUCUCAGGAUCCACAUCGGAUACGUGAGCAGUGUAAAACCACCGGAUCACUGUAUAUUCUAUUGGAAUACAGAGGAUCACUUUUAUCCACACGGUGUGGAAAAGAUGGAGUACAGUACAGUACAGGAAUAUAGAAUUCAUAUAUUAUAUGAAAAUAUAUAUUCUUAUAUUAAAAUGUGUUAACUCAUG